AACGCUGGCGGCACGCUUAACACAUGCAAGUCGAACGGAGAAAUUGGAUUAUUCAUUUCUUAGUGGCGGACGGGUGAGUAACACGUGAGCAACCUGCCUUUGAGAGGGGAAUAGCUUCGGGAAACUGAUGGUAAUACCCUAUAACAUACAGAAACCGCAUGAUUUUUGUAUCAAAGAUUUUAUCACUCAAAGAUGGGCUCGCGUCUGAUUAGGUAGUUGGUGAGGUAACGGCUCACCAAGCCGACGAUCAGUAGCCGGACUGAGAGGUUGAACGGCCACAUUGGGACUGAGACACGGCCCAGACUCCUACGGGAGGCAGCAGUGGGGAAUAUUGCACAAUGGGGGGAACCCUGAUGCAAGCGAUGCCGCGUGGAGGAAGAAGGUUUCGGAUUGUAAACUCCUUUUGUAUGGGAAGAUAAUGACUGUACCAUACGAAUAAGCUCCGGCUAACUACGUGCCAGCAGCAGC
RNAcentral lists this ribosomal RNA (468 nucleotides) under uncultured bacterium. Its description in RNAcentral is "bacterial SSU rRNA". It matches the Rfam family "Bacterial small subunit ribosomal RNA", at positions 32 to 518 of the family's 1533-position model. The record is from RNAcentral.